CCAAGUCUCAAGUCCUUCAAGCUCAACUCAGGACCCUCCACAGAGCCCAAAUCAACCAUUCCAACUUCUUCCAGCAGGGCAAGUACCCAGGCUUAGUGUCACCUAAGACACAGCCACCACCUCCCUGUGCCUAUUAAUGCUUUAGCUCCCUUCCUAAAAUGCCCUCUCAAAGUCUCUCCAUACUCAACACCAAAGCUCCAUUAUACCUCCUCCAUAAAAUGAAGUCUUCCCAUAGAGAUCUCAUCUUCCUCCAACUCAUAACCCUUACUGUGAGGAUCACAUUGUACUUUUUGCUGUACCUUAUAUUACUACUGAAACAAUAUGAUCGUCAAAUUGUACAUUUAUUGAAGGGGGAGCUAGGCAGUAUGCUUCUUGUAGAAAUCCACCACACACACACAGGCAGUGUUAUACACAGCAUAGUUAUUAAAUAAAUGUACAGAAUCAAAUGACCCAAAGUAUCUCCAACAUGUAAGAAAAAAAUUAUCACAUAAUUACCCAUAACUAGACCAUUAUAUGAUCUGACAGCUCAGGUUUAAUCCUAAGAUGAACAGAGUCAUCAAAUACUUUUGGGUCCACGUUGUCUCUUUUUCAGAUCAGACGAGAUUCACAAUUAAAAGAUGUCAGUACUGUGUGUAAUACUAAAUCCUAUCAAAUAUUCAAGUUAUAAUCACCUUGUUCAGUAUAUAUUAGUUUAUUCCAGUGAGGUUUAGUGCUUAUUCAUUAGUUUAUGUAGCUGAGUAGCCUCACUUCACCC
Ceratotherium simum simum (southern white rhinoceros) is the source of this 754-nucleotide non-coding RNA. NCBI's taxonomy places the organism in Eukaryota, Metazoa, Chordata, Mammalia, Perissodactyla, Rhinocerotidae. The record is from RefSeq and is a predicted model, not a curated record.